AGAAGCAAUAAUGUUGAUAUGAGUAAUAAGAAUUAAUUCUCCCAGCACGCGUGUAUAUCAGAACGAAUAAAUCACUGAUAGUUAACAAAACCAACAUAAACAACCCACUUAUAAAUUAUAAUAUAAAUUGUUAAUCCAACACAGGAGUGCAAAUAAGGGAAAGAUUUAAAAGAAGUAAAAGGAACUCGGC
RNAcentral lists this ribosomal RNA (190 nucleotides) under Nycticeius humeralis (evening bat). RNAcentral describes it as "partial 16S ribosomal RNA". Lineage: Eukaryota; Metazoa; Chordata; Mammalia; Chiroptera; Vespertilionidae. The record is from RNAcentral.